Molecule: ribosomal RNA, 350 nt
Filed under: uncultured bacterium
Lineage: Bacteria
Description: bacterial SSU rRNA
Rfam family: Bacterial small subunit ribosomal RNA
Source: RNAcentral
AAUCAACGCUGGCGGCGUGCCUCAGACAUGCAAGUCGAACGCGAAAGUUCCCUUCGGGGAGCGAGUAGAGUGGCGUACGGGUGAGUAACACGUAGGUAAUCUACCUUUGGGUGGGGAAUAACAGCCGGAAACGGCUGCUAAUACCGCAUAAUGCAGCGGCUCGACAUCGAGACAGUUGUUAAAGCGGGGGAUCGCAAGACCUCGCGCCUAAAGAGGAGCCUGCGGCGGAUUAGCUAGUUGGUGAGGUAAUGGCUCACCAAGGCAUCGAUCCGUAGCCGGCCUGAGAGGGCGGUCGGCCACACUGACACUGACAUACGGGUCAGACUCCUACGGGAGGCAGCAGUCGGGAA